RNAcentral lists this transfer RNA (56 nucleotides) under Achelia bituberculata. Its description in RNAcentral is "tRNA-Met". Lineage: Eukaryota; Metazoa; Arthropoda; Pycnogonida; Pantopoda; Ammotheidae. The record is from RNAcentral.
UAAAAGGUAAGCUAAAGUUAAGCUUUUGGAUUCAUACCUCAAAUAUAGAUUUAUUU